AGACAGGUGCUGCAUGGCUGUCGUCAGCUCGUGUUGUGAAAUGUUGGGUUAAGUCCCGCAACGAGCGCAACCCUUAUCCUUUGUUGCCAGCGGUCCGGCCGGGAACUCAAAGGAGACUGCCAGUGAUAAACUGGAGGAAGGUGGGGAUGACGUCAAGUCAUCAUGGCCCUUACGAGUAGGGCUACACACGUGCUACAAUGGCGCAUACAAAGAGAAGCGACCUCGCGAGAGCAAGCGGACCUCAUAAAGUGCGUCGUAGUCCGGAUUGGAGUCUGCAACUCGACUCCAUGAAGUCGGAAUCGCUAGUAAUCGUGGAUCAGAAUGCCACGGUGAAUACGUUCCCGGGCCUUGUACACACCGCCCGUCACACCAUGGGAGUGGGUUGCAAAAGAAGUAGGUAGCUUAACCUUCGGGAGGGCGCUUACCACUUUGUGAUUCAUGACUGGGGUGAAGUCGUAACAAGGUAACCGUAGGGGAACCUGCGGUU
This 487-nucleotide ribosomal RNA is filed under the name Enterobacter hormaechei. RNAcentral describes it as "bacterial SSU rRNA". It matches the Rfam family "Bacterial small subunit ribosomal RNA", at positions 1032 to 1519 of the family's 1533-position model. The record is from RNAcentral. RNAcentral also lists the same sequence under 2 other names. Lineage: Bacteria; Pseudomonadati; Pseudomonadota; Gammaproteobacteria; Enterobacterales; Enterobacteriaceae.